RNAcentral lists this ribosomal RNA (814 nucleotides) under uncultured bacterium. RNAcentral's name for it is "bacterial SSU rRNA". It matches the Rfam family "Bacterial small subunit ribosomal RNA", at positions 8 to 806 of the family's 1533-position model. The record is from RNAcentral.
AGAGUUUGAUCCUGGCUCAGGAUGAACGCUGGCGGCAUGCCUAAUACAUGCAAGUCGAACGAGAGGAAGGAAAGCUUGCUUUUCUGAAUCUAGUGGCGAACGGGUGAGUAACACGUAGGUAACCUGCCCAUGUGCCCGGGAUAACUUCUGGAAACGGAUGCUAAAACCGGAUAGGUAGCAGACAAGCAUUUGACUGCUAUUAAAGUGGCUUUGGCCAUGAACAUGGAUGGACCUGCGGUGCAUUAGCUAGUUGGUGAGGUAACGGCCCACCAAGGCGACGAUGCAUAGCCGGCCUGAGAGGGCGGACGGCCACAUUGGGACUGAGACACGGCCCAAACUCCUACGGGAGGCAGCAGUAGGGAAUUUUCGUCAAUGGGGGGAACCCUGAACGAGCAAUGCCGCGUGAGUGAGGAAGGUCUUCGGAUCGUAAAGCUCUGUUGUAAAGGAAGAACGUCGUACACAGGAAAUGGUGUGCGAGUGACGGUACUUUACCAGAAAGCCACGGCUAACUACGUGCCAGCAGCCGCGGUAAUACGUAGGUGGCGAGCGUUAUCCGGAAUCAUUGGGCGUAAAGAGGGAGCAGGCGGCCGCAAGGGUCUGUGGUGAAAGACCGAAGCUAAACUUCGGUAAGCCAUGGAAACCGGGCGGCUAGAGUGCGGAAGAGGAUCGUGGAAUUCCAUGUGUAGCGGUGAAAUGCGUAGAUAUAUGGAGGAACACCAGUGGCGAAGGCGACGGUCUGGGCCGCAACUGACGCUCAUUCCCGAAAGCGUGGGGAGCAAAUAGGAUUAGAUACCCUAGUAGUCCACGCCGUAAA